CACUGUCUGAUGUGGGUGUUGGUGAGAGUUCAACUCAGGAAGGGACUGAGAAGAUUUGAUAUUUCAUAAAAGGUGCCACAUGUCCCAAAUGGGAAGGCUCAGGAAAAGCCACAUGGAUGGGAAAUGCAGGACUGCCUCAGCAGGAACACCACAGCUUUACCCUCUCCAAGCAGAGCAGUUGUGUACUCCAAGUGAAGGACCAUGUGAACUUCUGGAGAAUUUUAACAUAGGUGUACUGAGCAGCCACAAGUUUUCAAGCUGAAGUCACAGCUGAACAGCAGUUUGAAAAUCCCAACUUGAGAGACUACUUAGGAGGAGGAAAAGUUUCCACUUCUAAGUCUUUCCAGAGCCAGACUUUGU
Long non-coding RNA from Chiroxiphia lanceolata (lance-tailed manakin), 360 nucleotides. RefSeq lists it as uncharacterized. The transcript has 3 exons. Lineage: Eukaryota; Metazoa; Chordata; Aves; Passeriformes; Pipridae. The record is from RefSeq and is a predicted model, not a curated record.